RNAcentral lists this ribosomal RNA (497 nucleotides) under uncultured bacterium. Its description in RNAcentral is "partial 16S ribosomal RNA". It matches the Rfam family "Bacterial small subunit ribosomal RNA", at positions 28 to 507 of the family's 1533-position model. The record is from RNAcentral.
GAUGAACGCUGGCGGCGUGCCUAAUACAUGCAAGUCGAGCGAACAUACUAGGAGCUUGCUCCUCUGACGUUAGCUGCGGACGGGUGAGUAACACGUGGCUAACCUACCUAUAAGACUGGGAUAACUUCGGGAAACCGGCGCUAAUACCGGAUAAUAUAUUGAACCGCAUGGUUCAAUAGUGAAAGACGGUUUUGCUGUCACUUAUAGAUGGAUCCGCGCCGCAUUAGCUAGUUGGUAAGGUAACGGCUUACCAAGGCAACGAUGCGUAGCCGACCUGAGAGGGUGAGCGGCCACACUGGAAGGGAGACACGGUCCAGACCACUACGGGAGGCAGCAGUAGGGAAUCUGCCGCAAUGGGCGAAAGCCUGACGGAGGAACGCCGCGUGAGUGAGGAAGGUCUUCGGAUCGUAAAACUCUGUUAGUAGGGAAGAACAAAUAUGUAAGUAACUAUGCACGUCUUGACGGUACCUAAUCAGAAAGCCACGGAUAACUAGGUG